Molecule: long non-coding RNA, 508 nt
Filed under: Ictidomys tridecemlineatus (thirteen-lined ground squirrel)
Lineage: Eukaryota; Metazoa; Chordata; Mammalia; Rodentia; Sciuridae
Description: lncRNA (ENSSTOG00000032587.1)
Source: RNAcentral
UUUAAUCAUCAUCUCUUAUUUUACAGGUGCAGAAAGAGACCAGAGAGGUUGAAUAAUAGCACCAGAAUCACGUAGCUGGCCAAGAGUAGGAUCAAGAUCAUUGCCUCUAAAUCCGAGUCUCUUUAUGAUACCAAGAUUCCCGAGUUGUUCUGCAUGCAGAACGAAGACUGUUUUUAUAUGGACUGAGUAAAGGCUUGGUCCCUGGCAGCUGGGUGUAUCACAGAGGGAAUGGAGCCUGACCACUGACCUGGACUGUGGCUCCCCAGUCUAAACUUUUCUCAGGACAGCAGUGACACUCACAGGCAGCACAUCAAGAUAUCUGAGGAGUCUAACAAGGGUUCAGUCCAGGCUGCCAAGAAGGGAAGUGAGUCCCUAUCCCCAGCUAUAGUCAAGCCACGGUUGGAGGCUCACCUCUCCAGGAUGCUGCUGGGGUGAUGUCUACACUGGAUGAAAGACUGGACUAGGUGAGCUUUAAGACCCAUCCCCUUCCAUAAGUUAAGGAUAGUCC